RNAcentral lists this ribosomal RNA (279 nucleotides) under uncultured bacterium. Its description in RNAcentral is "partial 16S ribosomal RNA". It matches the Rfam family "Bacterial small subunit ribosomal RNA", at positions 506 to 784 of the family's 1533-position model. The record is from RNAcentral.
UGCCAGCCGCCGCGGUAAUACGGAGGGGGUUAGCGUUGUUCGGAAUUACUGGGCGUAAAGCGCACGUAGGCGGAUCAGAAAGUUAGGGGUGAAAUCCCAGGGCUCAACCCUGGAACUGCCUCUAAAACUCCUGGUCUAGAGUUCGAGAGAGGUGAGUGGAAUUCCGAGUGUAGAGGUGAAAUUCGUAGAUAUUGGGAAGAACACCAGUGGCGAGGGCGGCUCACUGGCUCGAUACUGACGCUGAGGUGCGAGAGCGUGGGGAUCAAACAGGAUUAGAUA